UAAAACACCAGUUCCCAUAUAAUCACUGAAGUUAAGCAAUGUUGAGCUUGGUCAGUACCUAGAUGGAUGACCGCUUGGGAAUAACAGGUGU
Molecule: non-coding RNA, 91 nt
Organism: Acanthosepion pharaonis
Lineage: Eukaryota; Metazoa; Mollusca; Cephalopoda; Sepiida; Sepiidae
Source: the annotation of a GenBank genome assembly